GACGAACGCUGGCGGCGUGCCUAAUACAUGCAAGUAGAACGCACAGUUUAUACCGUAGCUUGCUACACCAUAGACUGUGAGUUGCGAACGGGUGAGUAACGCGUAGGUAACCUGCCUGGUAGCGGGGGAUAACUAUUGGAAACGAUAGCUAAUACCGCAUAAUAUUAAUUAUUGCAUGAUAAUUAAUUGAAAGGUGCAAUUGCACCACUACCAGAUGGACCUGCGUUGUAUUAGCUAGUAGGUGAGGUAACGGCUCACCUAGGCGACGAUACAUAGCCGACCUGAGAGGGUGAUCGGCCACACUGGGACUGAGACACGGCCCAGACUCCUACGGGAGGCAGCAGUAGGGAAUCUUCGGCAAUGGACGAAAGGCUGACCGAGCAACGCCGCGUGAGUGAAGAAGGUUUUCGGAUCGUAAAGCUCUGUUGUAAGAGAAGAACGGGUGUGAGAGUGGAAAGUUCACACUGUGACGGUAGCUUACCAGAAAGGGACGGCUAACUACGUG
Molecule: ribosomal RNA, 505 nt
Filed under: uncultured bacterium
Lineage: Bacteria
Description: partial 16S ribosomal RNA
Rfam family: Bacterial small subunit ribosomal RNA
Source: RNAcentral